This is a long non-coding RNA of Felis catus (domestic cat), 7871 nucleotides long. RefSeq lists it as uncharacterized. NCBI's taxonomy places the organism in Eukaryota, Metazoa, Chordata, Mammalia, Carnivora, Felidae. The record is from RefSeq and is a predicted model, not a curated record. The transcript is spliced from 4 exons.
CCGACUGAACCACCCAGGUGCCCCAUCAAUAUUAUUAUUUCUAAUGAGGAUUUAGAAGAAAGAAAUUGCAUUUUAUUACUUAAUGUUUUAUUUUAUUAUUUUUUUCCUAGUCUAUUUUCUAUAAUAAGCAUGAAUUAAUUAUCUAAUAAGAAAUUAGCAACGAAAUUUGUUAAGAAAAAAAGUUUGUCCCUGGUCAGCAAAUUUCUUGGUGUCUUAUUGGUUGAGUGUCCCUUGUAGGAACUUCAGGGAAACCUACUCCAGUGUCACAGAAGUACUUGGGUCCAAGGACAGAUGGAAAAACUAUGCCCCUACUCUUAAGACAGUGUCUCUCCUGACAUUAAAAUAGAGCAUGUCAGGAAGUGGUCACGUGUUGAGAGACGUAGGCAAAACUGGAAAGUUUUAAUUAAUUUGAACAAAUAUAGAUGUGUAUACAUUUCUGAAAACAGUUUAUAAUUUCUCAUUGGCUUUUUGAGAUACAACCAAACUCACCCAAAAUGUAGGUGACACUUAGCAUUUGCUUCCACUCUCAAAAACUUGUAGACCUCCUCUUUUAUCCAAACUCUGCUUUUUCUAGUGCGACCUCAUUACCAUAGGGUUUCAUGCAAACAAAAGCAUUGCAGAACCUCAUCUUAUCUCACACCCGAACUGAUCUGAAUCUGUAUUAACGCACAGCAAGGAACAAAUGAGAGUAUCUAUAUGAAGUCUUGCCUCAGAACUGAAAUAUUAGAAAUGACAGUUUUACAUUCAGUAUCAUUUUUCUCAAGGGUUUAUCUCAUGGCAUCAUUUUUGUUUCUCAAACAUUUUCAAAUAUUUGAUCCUUGAAACCUUCACCCAACUCACUGCAAAGUUUAAAAAUGCUGCCUAUUUCAGAAUGUUUGCACACAGUUCUCAAACAUGAGAGGCACAGGCAGACCAGCCCCCAGCUGUUUCCAGGGAAGCCUGGGGAGAGGCUGCUGGUACACAUCGUGAUAUUUUUCCAACCGAAAACUGUUACUGCCCUGCCCUGAGACACAUGUGUCCCAGAGGAGCCGAAAUCCAAAUUGAAGUGAAAAGUUUAUUGGCUACAUGCCAAAUUCAAAACUACCCUGACCUGUCUUCCCUUGUCCUCUGACAGUGUGUACAUGUACUGACUCAUCUGGGAAAAAAAAAAAAAAAAAAAAAAGCUGGUUUGUAAAUGGGGGAAAAACUAUCCAAGAAGUAUUCGCACCAUGAAAUGAUCGUCUCGUUUUGGCCAUACUGACAAACAACCGGUCAAUUCAGUGAGAAGAAAAAACGUUUUCUUUUUAAUAUUUGAUGAGUGUGCUUAACACAAUUGCCUGGUUUGUUUAUACUGGUUAGUUGUUGAAUGAUCUACAUAGCUGAAUCUGAAAUCUGGGUUUUAACAAGCUAAGGAAGAAUUCCCAUUGAGUAAUGUUUUCAGUUAACGACUGUACUGCUGUAAUCAAUGCUUAAGCAUAUGGUUAAGUGCAGCUAAUAUUGGGUCAUAAAUGCUGCACGUGGCCAGUGACCACCAAAGAGCCCUGGGCUUCUGGCUUUCCGUCCCUGACCCAUACAAUGACAGCAUUUGAGCGUUUUGUAUGUCGGAUUUCCUGAACCAACAAUAACAAAAAUACAACUUAAAAACCAGUGAUCCAGACUGGCCUCUUACUCCUUUCACCCCUGCACAGGAUUGCACAAAGACGUGGAAACCAGAGCAGAUCAAAUUUGGAGCCUACCAACCUUGGCUGCUUGCCUUCAAGGAAUGUUUAUGCCUUUGAAAGACUUGCUAUCAUUCAGCUUUGUUGUGGCCUUCUUUCUGCCCUGUUAGUGUCCAUCAGUUGUUCUAGUGAACGAUUUAAGGUCCAUUCUUGGAUUUCCUUGACUGUUCCAACUAGUUGAUGUAACAGAGAAAAUAAGGAAUAGGGAUUAUGUAAUCUUCCAUUUUCAACGUGACUCGUCUAUAAAAUCAUUCAGUCUUCCUAAACUAUGUGAAUGGAAUUUGUUUGCAUAAAUCUAAUGCCACCAAAGGCUUCUAAACCGUGAACUAAUUACGCCAUCUAAUUUUGGAGCUUUUCCAAUGUCAAUCUCUAAAUUAGUCAUCUUCUGCUUUUGUUUUAUGUGUCAUCUUUUGCUUUUUCACAUUUCAUUAGGUAUCAAAACCAAGAGAGACAAAGUACAAGCUGUUUAUAUUUUAUCAAGUCUCAAGAAAAUGGAAAACGUUUUAUCCCAGUUAGAUCUACAGGAGAGCGAGAUGGGUCCUAGACCGAUGUUUUGGCACAAAACAGAAGUACAAAUAAUUAUGGGCAGUGGUAUCUUAAAACGCUUUUUAAAAAUUAAUCCUAAGAAGGACAGUUGUUUUGCUGUAUUUGAUUUUCAAUUUUUUAAAUUGAAAUGGACUUUCUUGUGCAGGCAUGUCUAUGUGUGUUAUAUGUAUGCUCAGACAUGUAUGUGUAUACAGUAUGUACCUGUAUGCGUGUACAAUGUAAGGAACAUUGACUGUUACAUCAGAAGACACGGGUUCAAGCCUGUCCCAUCAUCACUCGCUGACUGAAAGCAGGCAAGUCGUCCCCUACCAUUUAUGAACGUCAGCUUUCUCAUCUAAAAUUGGGGUUCACCGUGGUUUUCCAAUCUGUUUCAAGGACUUGACAUAGAAAUCAAAGUAGAUAGUACACACGAAGCUUUAUUGAUUAGAUGUAUAAGGUCCUAAUAACAUGUACUGGUGAGUGACAUAAUUACACCAAUAACCCAACAUAAGAUUUGGAGCAACUUACUUAACUUUGGGCCAUAUUUCUUUGUAGACAAAUGUGACUCAUAAAAGGUUCGUGGCGAAUACAAAGGGCACUGACUGUCAUGGAGGACAGACCUACUCGUUAGGACCCUUGUUUUUGUUUGUUUGUUUUUAAGGGACACAAACUCGACUUGAAGUAGUUCAAGCAAAUAAAAGAAAAGUGUGUAUUGAAAGCCUCAAGUAACCAUGGAAAAGAAGCCACAGAGCCUCAAAAACCACUGGAACCAGAAAUUUGAAUGCUAGCAAGACUUUCCCUCUUCUCACUGCAUACUGUUUCUGGUUUUCUCAAACUUCCUACACGUGGCUAGGACACAAGGCCACCAGCAGCCCCUGCCCCCACACCACCCCCUGCAUGUCACAAUUUUGCCAUAAGAAGAAAAAAAAAAAAAACCUACCCUAAAAUUGCCCACCUCCUCAUCCCAAGCCUGAUCCCAGUUGAAGAGUCCCCAGAAAAGACGCUAGUCAGCUCAGGUCAGGUCAGGGGCCCCGGAUGGGAACAUGGCACUGGUGGCUCCCGUUUGAACCAGGUGGUCGGAGUCAGAGUGAAGCGGUUGUCCCCAAGAAAUGGGGUGGUGUUUCUAGAAACGAGGCAAGGUCCUAAGCAGUCAGAGCAGCAAAUGCUCACAAAAGCGCAGGAGGCUGGCCCGAGCGCUGGCCUUUCUUGCCAUUCUCUGGUGAAGGUGACCUUAGCCUAAUGGGUGAAGCUUUCUGUCAAGUGACAGACAAAACCUACUCCUGCCUUCUGUAUUGGACGUGAGGAACAAAUUACAGAAUAGAUUCAAAUGUGCCUUUAGCGGUUUCAAGUGCUAAACCAGUAGCAGGUAGAUUCACUGAUGCCCUUGAUCAGUGCCUGUGAUCCAAACCCCUCCUUGUGUAUGUUCUCACGAAAGUACAGAACCAAGGAUUAGAACCAUUCUCUGACUCUGUUUUGUUAGGAAACAGCACUCUUUUGGAGUGUUUUUCAUGGUUAAAAUUUGAUUCAUCUCCUGUUAAAUCAUGCAUGCGAUUUACUUGGGGCUAUUCCUGAAAUUUUUUCAAUUAGAAAAAUGUAAAUUACAAAAUACAUUAUUCAUCAUGUGCACACAGUUGACUGCGUUUUAGAGUAUCACCUGAAGAAACAACAGUAGAGGAACAACACAAACAGAAAUUCGUUGAUAUCAUGCUCGUGGAAUAGACCCUAUUCCACUUGGGUCUAUUUGUAGGACUUGCCCACUCCUGAACAAUUUUCUCUGGUGAUUCUUGUCCGCCAAGGGACCUCUUCUGUUUGUCAAUGGUUGGGUCCAUCGUGUGCACCAUUUGUGGCCCUACGGUGGGGACUCACGGCCCGUACUUGCGUUGCUCCGGUGUGUCAGCUAGAUCCAGCCUCUCUGUGUGGCUCAUGUGGCUACUGUCCAGUAGGAAUGUAUCUCCACUUCGUUUUUACUGCGCUCCCAUGCUAUAUGUCCAUCGUAUCCUUCAGGACCAAGUUGAAUGUACUGCUCUAGGAUAGAUCUUCCACUGUUGUCCCUCUCUCUUUAGAAGAGCUUCUUUGUUUGGGUGAACAUGUGAUCCGAGCGUAUCCGUUGGCGCUUCUCAAAGACGUAGCUUUGUGCGUCUUCUCAAGUCGCUACGGGUGUAUGUUUGUCUCCCCAAAGGUAAAACCGGAGUGAGUGCCAAGUUACUUUGCAGGAUGACUGCAGUGACCUUCGGUGCCGCCAGGAGAAAGCAAUCUGGUAUGUUGUUGCAAAAGUAGGACACACAGCAGCAACCUCAGCCAACUUCAUCAGUCUGCCCCAUUCCCGUGUGGACCUCUCACCUGACCGGGACUGGGGGUGGGAACUGGAAUAGGUCGGCCCUGGCCGCUGUGCCCCUGGGCCGGGGCCGUGGGGGCUGUGAGAGGACAGAGCAUCUCCUGCCCAAGGCUGCAGUGGGAGAGCUGGAGGGUAAAUGCUGAAAAUAAUAUUCUGGGCUGAGGGCCAAGGUCAUGGCCAACGAGUGUGUCCAAACCAUGUCAUAAAUUAAAGUAACUAUUGGAAAACUGGGAGCUGAGUUACGGAGCCAAAACGAGCGGUGCCGGGCCACAGAACGAGCCAAGAAUGAAGAGAGGGACGAAGUGCAGCAGACCACACUGUCAAAGGUCAGCUAGGCGCUGUGCUGGCAGGCUGGCCAGGCCCGGGAGGGAGCCAGGCCCCCGGAGACGCGGCAGGCAGAAGCGUGCUGGCUCAUCUACGGGAUCCUUCCAUCUGUUCCCAGGGAUCCUCCAAGUUAACUCUAACUUAAAAGCUCUUCACAGAUGGGCAAGAAAUUCGAUUCUUCUGUUAUUCUAAUCCCCAAACAAGCCAUGAUACACACAGAGGCAAUUUCAGGUUGAGUCAUGUUACCUUUCUCCAAAUUGCAGGCAAUCCCCACUUCUCUGGAGCCCUACAGCACAGACAGAGCACCCCGCGUGGAGUGCAGAGGAAAACCCACGCAGCUGAAGAUGCUAAGGCAGAGAGGAAAGCCACACCGUGCGGACAAAUGAGCAUGCCUGAUUGACUCCAUUGAAACAGCGUGCAAUUCUUGAUCUCGGGGUAGUGAGUUCAAGCCCCAAGUCAGGAAGCCCGCGCUGUUAGCUCACGUCCAGUCUAUCUGAGCUGUAAAAAUAAAACAGGAGCCAUAGGAGUGCAGGCCAGUGACACUAUCGCUGUACCAAAGGACAACUCUGGGGGCUGCAGGUGCUCCUUGGCUUGUGGCUGUACCACUCCGACUCCUGCCCCUGUCCUCACAUGGCCUUCUUCUCUUCCCUCCAUCCUUCCUGUGAGUAUGUCUUGGAAGGAUACCUGUCACUGGAUUUAAGAACCACCCCGGUAAGCCAGGACGAUCCCAUCUCAAGAUCCUUCAUUUAAUUACAUCUGCAAAGACGCUUUUUCCAAAUAAGGUCACAUUCACAGCUUCCUGAGGUUGGGAUGUGGGCAUAUCUCUUGAGGGACUGCUAGUCAACAAGCUGCCGAUGAGAAAUCAGCCAUGCUGACUCUGGCCAGUUUGGGCGGGGGCGGGGAGGGGGGGGCGCAUGGCGAUCUCAGGGAGCAAGGCCCAGGCAGUUCCAGGCAGGAGACUGGUGAUUUGCCCGUUGACAGGGCCCAAAGGUAAAUUAGUAGCUUAUAAUAAGCAGAUGGAGUGGGGAAUCCAAGAAGGGUAUGUUCAAUUUUUCCCAUUAGUUCAGCUUCUGUUUAUUCAAACAACCUUAAGUGAUAAAGAAGAUAUUUGACAGUCACUGGGGUGGCUCAGAGAAUUAACACAAGAGCCAACGAUCCACUUCUGGAACCGACACAGAAUCCGGAGCAGAUGUUGUCGUUGAAUGCUGCCGUUUUCCAGAACUCCAUCGUGGACAUAUGCUGCUCUGAUAAUGCCUGAGCUCUCUCCCAGAGGAGAAUUGGGCUCCAAUCAAGUGUGAGAGUUAUCAGCCAUGGUACAGGCAUGACAGCUGUGAGCUGGAGAAGUCACCCCAGCGGGGGUCUGUGACAGGCGGGCUGGGGAGGCUUCGGUGCUGGACGGGGGGUGGGGGGGGGACCAGAGAGCAGGAGCAAUGCAGCCAGCUGGGAGUGCCUGGUCCAGAGACCACAUCUCCAACCACUUUGUCUAAGGACUCUUGAGACUCAAGAAUUAAAGAGAAAUCCAAAGAGACAUAAGUGUCUUGUAUCUAUCGAUAGUGACUUAUUAGAAAUGAAAGCCGAGGGGCACCUGGGUGUCUCAGUCAGUUAAGCAUCUGACUCUUGAUUUCGGCUCAUCAUCCUAUGGUUCGUGAGAUCGAGCCCCACAUCAGGCUCUGGGCUGACAGCAAGGAGCCUGUUUGCGAUUCUCUCUCUCCCUCUCUCUCUCUCUCUCAAAAAUAAGUAAAGUUUUAAAAACUCUUUAAAAAAAAAAAAAGAAAUUAAAGCUGAGACUUCGUAAGACACGAGAACACAAGCUCACCUGCCAUCAGCUGUCAGAGCGAUGAUGUCACCACACCCGGGGCGGCCACGGGAAGGCUUCACUGCACACUCCUACGAGAAGAGGGGUGAAGGUCAAGAGCGUCUUAGUGUUGUUACGAAAUCAGUCCUGACUUUACCCAUCCUCUGAAAGGGCCCCAGGGUCCCGCUCGUCCCAGACCAUGUGGGGAAUGGCCAGCAUCGUGGUUCGGGACGUGGACUCCAGGGCAGGGCUGCCUGAGUUUGGAACUUGGCCUAGCGUGCUUCUUACCCACCCAGCACCUCCGUGUCCUCAUCUGAAAAUGGGACAACGGUGGUGCCCCCUUACAGGGCUGUGGGGGCAUCAGCACAGUGCCGAGCGUGGGCAUGUAGACGCCGCCCUUUGGCUCGGGUGAGGCACCGCACCAGCACUGAGGCCUGGGAUUGCCAGAUGUGGAGGCACCAAACUCCGCUGGGACGGGCUGGCCAGGGGUCCGAGGACUGGCUCGGGACCCAGACUCAACCCUGGACCUCCUGGCUCUGUGGGGGGUUUAACACUUCGAACCCCCACCCCCCGCCAGAGAGCAAGCCCGGCUCCAGUCCAGGAGCCCGGGCGAGCCGGGGGGGGGGUGCCACGUGGGCUUCGUUCUCAGGAGCGGGUGGGGUGACAGCCCACAGGGAUGAGAUGCCGUCUGAUAGCUCAGCAAAGACGAUUCUCAAAAACAUAUCCUUCUUAUGGUAUCCGCGACUUGUAUUGCCGAGAUGUGGAUUUCUCUGCAUCCAUCAAUAAAAAUGUGGAAUUGGGCCAAUUUAUGAAUAUUUCAUAUACAACCAACUCUAGUGUUGAAUGCUCAAAAAUGAUAAAAACCUGUCAAUAUGCCUCUGACCUCUUGGAGGUUUCCAGGGCAUCAGUUCAGUCUUGAGCCCGGGCCUGACCACCUCUACUUCUGUCUCCCUCCAGAUCCAGCAUCCCCGACGGACGUGGGCCUCCGGCUUCCUGCCCGUGAGAGGGAUCAUCCCGGAUUGUCCAGCAGGGGUUACCCUGAGGUUGGGGAUGCAGGACCAACCAACGGAUGGAUCCACGGAGGGGGGCGGGGGAGGUGACGCUCGAGGAGCUCGUCCACAUACAAACAUCCUACAGCCGCACCCUCGGGUCACAUGGACUGCCUUUGAAAAUCGCCCGUGUUAUGACUACGUCA